Molecule: transfer RNA, 74 nt
Filed under: Psenopsis anomala (melon seed)
Lineage: Eukaryota; Metazoa; Chordata; Actinopteri; Scombriformes; Centrolophidae
Description: tRNA-Ser
Source: RNAcentral
GAGAGAGACUCGCUAGUAGCGAAGACUGCUAAUCCUCGUAACCUUGGUUGGACCCCAAGGCUCACUCGUAUACU